RNAcentral lists this ribosomal RNA (2186 nucleotides) under Candidatus Marsarchaeota G2 archaeon BE_D. RNAcentral describes it as "bacterial LSU rRNA". It matches the Rfam family "Archaeal large subunit ribosomal RNA", at positions 713 to 2891 of the family's 2987-position model. The record is from RNAcentral. Lineage: Archaea; Thermoproteati; Thermoproteota.
GAUUGGCAAUAUACAAGCAUCUGUGAGAGGGGGGUUCUAAUAGAGCCUAAGUCACAGUCCUGAGACCCGAAACCAAGCGAUCUAGGCCUGGGCAAGGUGAAGCUGAGCGAAAGCUCAGUGGAGGCCUGAAUAGGGGUGCUGACGUGCAAAUCGCUCCCCUGACCUGGGCCUAGGGGCAAUAGACCAAUCAAGCUUGGUGAUAGCUGGUUCCCUCCGAAGCAGGUCCCAGCCUGGCCCUCCUGGAGACACAUUAAGGUGUAGAGCCACCAAUCGUUGGUCAAGGGCCGAAAGGUCCUGACCGACGGUUGAACUCCGAAGCCUUAAUGGUCAAAGAAGGGAGGAGACGGGUUUCGCGGGAUAAGCCUGCGAGCCGAAAGGGGGACAACCCAACCUAGAGUUAAGGUCCCUAAAUGCCGGCUAAGUGUCAAGCACAAAGGGCGUCACCGUUCUGAGACAACCGGGAGGUAGGCUUAGAAGCAGUUAACCUCUAAGGAGUGCGUAACAGCUCACCGGUCGAGAACGGUGGCCCCGAAAAUUGACGGGACUUAAGCCGGCUACCGAGACUCUAGGGCAUGUCCUGAAGCGGGGCAUGAUUUGGUAGGAGGGCAUCAUGGUCGGUCAGAAGCCAGGCUGUGAAGUCUGGUGGACCGAUCAUGAAAGCGAAUCCUGGCAGUAGUAACAGCGAAGCUGGGUGAAAAUCCCAGCCGCCGGAAGGGCCAGGGUUCCUCGGCAAUGCGUCGUCAGCCGAGGGUUAGCCGCUCCUAAGGGCGGCCUUAACUGGUUCGCCCGAAAGGGAAAACGGUUAAUAUUCCGUUGCUAAGGGUUUACGUUUAGUGGCAACACUAAGCCAUGUUCCAGACGGGUAGGGAUAGGCCAUGUGGAGUUGCCGCUCCACUUAACUUACUAACCGCAAGGAGUGUCGUAAUGACGAGAAUUGCGGGAAGUAAGGAAUAGCCUCCUUUAUGGGGGUAUGGCCGAUUCCCUGCCCCCGUGAAAAUGGAACAUGGAAGGAUAACCCUUAAGCGUACCUAGAACCGACACAGGUGUCCCUGGCUGAGAAGGCCAAGGCGUCUCCGGGUACUCCAGGCCAAGGAACUAGGCAAAUUAGCCCUGUAUCUUCGGUAGAAGGGGUGCCUGGGAUCUUCAGCUUUGCUGGGGAUCCUAGGUCGCAGUGACAAGGAGGUCCUGACUGUUUAAUAAAAACAUAGGUCCCCGCGAGCCCGAAAGGGUGAGUACGGGGGCUGAAUCCUGGCCACUGGCGGUACGCGAACCCCGGGUUCAACCGGGCUAAGCGCCGCUGAAGGCCGGGAGUAACUCUGACUCUCUUAAGGUAGCCAAAUGCCUUGUCGGGUAAGUUCCGACGUGCAUGAAUGGAUCAACGAGGGCCUCACUGUCUCGGCCUGGAGCCGGGUGAACCUGCAACCUAGUGCACAGUCUAGGGACCCCCGAUGGGGCGAGAAGACCCCGUGGAGCUUUACUGCAGCCUCAAGCUGUGAUAUCUUUCCUGCUGCGUAGAGUAGACGGGAGCCCAUGAAGUAUGUUCUCUGGGACAUAUGGAGGCGAAAGUGAAACACCGUCCAGCGGGAAGGAUAUCACUAACCUGGUUUCAGGGACAACUUGAGGUGGGCAGUUCGGCUGGGGCGGCACGCCCCCGACAAAGAAUCGGGGACGUCCAAAGGUCAGCUCAGGUAGGUCAGAAACCUACCGUGGAGGACAAGGCCAAAAGCUGGCCUGAUUGGUUUCCUAACUGCACGGAAACCAAGGGCGAAAGCCUGGCCUAGCGAACGCUUAUGUCCCCUUUGGUGGGGGCUAGGCAUGACGGAAAAGCUACCCCGGGAGUAACCGGCUCGUCGCGGGCGAGAGCUCACAUCGACCCCGCGGUUUGGUACCCAGACGUCGUCUCUUCCCAUCCUGGGGACGCAGCUGUCCCCAAGGGUAGGGCUGCCCGCCCGUUAAAGGGAACCGUGAGAUGGGUUUAGACCGUCGUGAGACAGGUCGGUCUCUACCUAUCGGGGGCGUAGGCUAUUUGAGGCGAAGGUGUUCCCAGUACGAGAGGAACGGAACACCGCCGCCUCUGGUGAACCAGCUGUCCGAUAGGGCAAGCUGGGUAGCCACGCGGUAAGGGCUAAAGGCUGAAAGCAUCUAAGCCUGAAGCCCUCGCCGAGACUAAAUAGCCACUCCCUUUG